This 440-nucleotide ribosomal RNA is filed under the name uncultured bacterium. RNAcentral describes it as "partial 16S ribosomal RNA". It matches the Rfam family "Bacterial small subunit ribosomal RNA", at positions 338 to 795 of the family's 1533-position model. The record is from RNAcentral.
CCUACGGGAGGCAGCAGUGGGGAAUAUUGCACAAUGGGGGAAACCCUGAUGCAGCGACGCCGCGUGAGUGAAGAAGUAAUUCGUUAUGUAAAGCUCUAUCAGCAGGGAAGAAAAUGACGGUUACUUAGUAAGGAGCCCCGGCUAACUACGGGCCAGCAGCCGGGGUAAUACGUAGGGGGCAAGCGUUAUCCGGAUUUACUGGGCGUAAAGGGAGCGUAGACGGCAGUGCAAGUCUGGAGUGAAAGGCAGGGGCUCAACCCCCGGACUGCUUUGGAAACUGUACGGCUGGAGUGCAGGAGAGGUAAGUGGAAUUCCUAGUGUAGCGGUGAAAUGCGUAGAUAUUAGGAGGAACACCAGUGGCGAAGGCGGCUUACUGGACUGUAACUGACGUUGAGGCUCGAAAGCGUGGGGAGCAAACAGGAUUAGAUACCCCUGUAGUC